Molecule: unclassified non-coding RNA, 328 nt
Filed under: soil metagenome
Description: partial contains 5.8S ribosomal RNA, internal transcribed spacer 2, and large subunit ribosomal RNA
Rfam family: 5.8S ribosomal RNA (bases 1-120)
Source: RNAcentral
GAUGAAGAACGCAGCGAAAUGCGAUAAGUAAUGUGAAUUGCAGAAUUCAGUGAAUCAUCGAAUCUUUGAACGCGCAUUGCGCCCCUUGGUAUUCCGAGGGGCAUGCCUGUUCGAGCGUCAUUAUAACCCCUCAAGCUCAGCUUGGUAUUGGGGCCUGCCAUCCUGGCAGCCCUUAAAAUCAGUGGCGGUGCCAUCCGGCUCUAAGCGUAGUAACUCUUCUCGCUAUGGAGUCCUGGUGGAUGCUUGCCAUUAAUCUUUUAACUUCUAUGGUUGACCUCGGAUCAGGUAGGGAUACCCGCUGAACUUAAGCAUAUCAAUAAGCGGAGGA